Long non-coding RNA from Rhipicephalus microplus (southern cattle tick), 752 nucleotides. Lineage: Eukaryota; Metazoa; Arthropoda; Arachnida; Ixodida; Ixodidae. The record is from RefSeq and is a predicted model, not a curated record.
CGCCGUUUACUGCCAUCUCUUAGGCUAUGUCUGCCUAUGCUCUGGCAAGAUUCUGUGGGCCUGCAAGAAACUGAACAACCUUUGCCACGUCUAAUUGGCAGUGCUGGACCAAAAGAGCUCAAUGAAGUGGAAGUGUCAAGGCCGUGCUUACAGCCAAGAUUGUGGAGGACCAAUGGAAGCUGAUAAACUAGGUUCAUGCCCAGUGCUAAGGCCAACGGCGAUUUUGACUGGGGUAGCCACCUUCCACAGAUACUUCAGUAGUAUUGCUUAACAAGGAAGUUGAUGUGCUCAAAAACAAGGCAGUCGCUACUGUCCUGCUGGAACUGGGAAGUCUGCCAUAGGUCCAUGUCUCAAGGAAAUACAUAAUUCUUCCCCUCAAAUUAGCCCAUGGACUGAAAAGAGAGGGGACCCUGACUGGACAGGGAGACGGUCUCGUUUGUGACAGCAGCUACUGACGAUCACCUCUAGAAACCCUCGAGACAGCAUUCAAUGAAAGGAUCUGGGGAGACAAGAUUUUUUGGACAGGAUCGUGCCCUUCAAUAAAAAAGCUGGAACUACGGACUGCUGAUGUUUGUUCUUUCCGGCAAAAAGGGGCCAAGCUUCAAGCAUGGAUUUCAAGUUUGCUGGUCACGGUUUGGGCCAUCCAGCAGCUUUAGCAGGGCCAUCGGUCUGCGGGAGCCCUGAGAGAAAACAUGGAGGCUAACCAGAGCAGACACCUUUACUAGUCGGAACCCAUGCCCAGACUGCCAGCA